This 464-nucleotide ribosomal RNA is filed under the name uncultured bacterium. RNAcentral describes it as "bacterial SSU rRNA". It matches the Rfam family "Bacterial small subunit ribosomal RNA", at positions 917 to 1382 of the family's 1533-position model. The record is from RNAcentral.
GGGCCCGCACAAGCGGAGGAGCAUGUGGUUUAAUUCGAUGAUACGCGAGGAACCUUACCUGGGCUUGAAAGUUAGUGAAUGCCGUAGAAACAUGGCAGCAAGCAAUUGCACGAAACUAGGUGCUGCAUGGCUGUCGUCAGCUCGUGCCGUGAGGUGUUGGGUUAAGUCCCGUAACGAGCGCAACCCCUACUAUUAGUUGCCAACAGGUCAUGCUGGGGACUCUAAUAGGACUGCCCGCGCAAGCGGUGAGGAAGGUGGGGAUGACGUCAAGUCAUCACGGCCCUUACGUCCAGGGCUACACACGUGCUACAAUGGUCGGUACAAUGGGCAGCCACAUGGCAACAUGGAGCUAAUCCUUAAAACCGGUCUCAGUUCGGAUUGAGGUCUGCAACUCGACCUCAUGAAGCUGGAUUCGCUAGUAAUCGUACAUCAGCAAUGGUACGGUGAAUACGUUCCCGGGCCUU